AAGGGACUCUACCCAACGGGUUGCUCCAAAAGCGUCUGAUAUUCCUAAAGCAUCUCCUCAGAUCCAGAAGGAAAGCAGAUCUACCCUCCCUGCUCUAAGAUGGCUCCAGGAUUGAACAACAUCCUGUUGGGUGACUUCUAUCAUCCAGAAGAUGACAACCUCCUCUUUGACUCCUUCUGUCAAUAUCCUGGGUGCUACCCACCACGUCAGCGUUAUGGCUGUUAUUAUCCUGGUGGUUACCCCCAAUAUCCUGGCUGUGUGAUGCCUUACCCCAAACAGUGGUGUGACCCCUACUAUCCCAAACAGUGGUGUGGCCCCUACUAUCGUCAAAAAGGCUGGGGCAACUGCUAUUCCCCAAAGCUCUACCCUGGUUGUGGCUGGCCAUGUUAAGCCCAGACACAACUCUGACCGAACAUCCAGGAAAGAAGACGCACGAUUCUGCCCCUCACACGAAUGAACUGACAGUGUUCAGAAAUGUUGAGCACACCAGAAACCUCGUUGCACAACCAAUGGGAUUUGUGAGAGUUCAGCACUUCUGUUAACACUUCAUGUGGUGCUUUGACUUUAUUCUUUGGUUUCCUAAUCUCUGCAUCCUUAUGUUUAACAGUAAUCUGUUUCCCAUUCACACCUGUUGCCUUGUAUUGAAGCCAUUAGUGAAGCCCUCAGACCGUUGCCAGAGGCACUUUGUCUGGGCUUGGAUGAAGGAUGCUCACUCCACAACACCAAAGGGAAGCUUGGAGUUGGGAAAUGUUGACUUUGCAUCAAUCCACAAUGAUACCUCAGCUUUGUCUUUGCGAUAUUGGUCCCAGAAAGCAAGAUGUCUUCAUGAUUGUUUUUUCCAUGUUCCCUGUUGCACUAAUCUGCAUUUCCAAUGGGCCAUUUCUACUGGCUCCUUCCUUUGUUUUUGCAAUAAAGUAUUCAACAUAUCAUACAACAA
Rhineura floridana is the source of this 937-nucleotide long non-coding RNA. RefSeq lists it as uncharacterized. The record is from RefSeq and is a predicted model, not a curated record. Lineage: Eukaryota; Metazoa; Chordata; Lepidosauria; Squamata; Rhineuridae. The transcript is spliced from 2 exons.